GUGUCAAUCCAACCGUUGGUACUGGAAACUUGUCCCCCAUGCUAUCGCUUUUUGUUUGAAGGAGUCGGGGAAUAAGCCUCCAGUGAUCCGCUACAGGAAGGACCGGGUUCAGUCCAAGCUGACGCCCACCUUCCCGGUAGUUACCGGAGUCAAAGACCUGUCCAACGGCUGCGCCAUCGCUGCAGCGCUGCACUACUACUGCCCCCAGCUGCUGCCUC
This is a long non-coding RNA of Notothenia coriiceps (black rockcod), 218 nucleotides long. RefSeq lists it as uncharacterized. NCBI's taxonomy places the organism in Eukaryota, Metazoa, Chordata, Actinopteri, Perciformes, Nototheniidae. The record is from RefSeq and is a predicted model, not a curated record. The transcript has 3 exons.